This 397-nucleotide ribosomal RNA is filed under the name uncultured bacterium. RNAcentral describes it as "bacterial SSU rRNA". It matches the Rfam family "Bacterial small subunit ribosomal RNA", at positions 521 to 896 of the family's 1533-position model. The record is from RNAcentral.
UAAUACAGAGGGCGCGAGCGUUGUCCGGAAUCACUGGGCGUAAAGGGCGCGUAGGUGGCCACUAUAAGGCCGCGGUGAAAGUUCGGGGCUCAACCCUGAAUCUGCCGCGGCGACUGUAGGGCUAGGGCACCGUAGAGGCAGAUGGAAUUCCGGGUGUAGCGGUGGAAUGCGUAGAGAUCCGGAAGAACACCGGUGGCGAAGGCGGUCUGCUGGGCGGUGAACCCGCAAGGGUUCAAUAGCCGACACUGAGGCGCGACAGCGUGGGGAGCAAACAGGAUUAGAUACCCUGGUAGUCCACGCCGUAAACGAUGGGCACUAGGUGCUUUGGGGAGCGACCCUCAGGGUACCGGCGCUAACGCAUGAAGUGCCCCGCCUGGGGAGUACGGCCGCAAGGCUG